CACCGCGGUUAUACGAGUGACUCACAUUAACACUCCCCGGCGUAAAGGGUGGUUUAAGGACAGCCUUUAAUAAAUUAAAGUUAAGACCUCACCAAGCUGUUAUACGCACCCAUGACCGGAAUAAACAACAACGAAAGUGACUUUAUAAUAAAAGGGGCCUUGAUGCCACGAUAGUUGAAGCC
This 182-nucleotide ribosomal RNA is filed under the name Apristurus macrorhynchus (flathead catshark). RNAcentral's name for it is "partial 12S ribosomal RNA". Lineage: Eukaryota; Metazoa; Chordata; Chondrichthyes; Carcharhiniformes; Scyliorhinidae. The record is from RNAcentral.